AAAUUGAAGAGUUUGAUCAUGGCUCAGAUUGAACGCUGGCGGCAGGCCUAACACAUGCAAGUCGAACGGUAACAGGAAACAGCUUGCUGCUUCGCUGACGAGUGGCGGACGGGUGAGUAAUGUCUGGGAAACUGCCUGAUGGAGGGGGAUAACUACUGGAAACGGUAGCUAAUACCGCAUAACGUCGCAAGACCAAAGAGGGGGACCUUCGGGCCUCUUGCCAUCGGAUGUGCCCAGAUGGGAUUAGCUUGUUGGUGGGGUAACGGCUCACCAAGGCGACGAUCCCUAGCUGGUCUGAGAGGAUGACCAGCCACACUGGAACUGAGACACGGUCCAGACUCCUACGGGAGGCAGCAGUGGGGAAUAUUGCAC
This 372-nucleotide ribosomal RNA is filed under the name Escherichia coli. Its description in RNAcentral is "bacterial SSU rRNA". It matches the Rfam family "Bacterial small subunit ribosomal RNA", at positions 1 to 369 of the family's 1533-position model. Lineage: Bacteria; Pseudomonadati; Pseudomonadota; Gammaproteobacteria; Enterobacterales; Enterobacteriaceae. The record is from RNAcentral.